AUUGAACGCUGGCGGCAGGCCUAACACAUGCAAGUCGAGCGAGCGGCGGACGGGGGAGUAAUGUAGGGGGACUGCCCGAUAGAGGGGGAUAAAUACUGGAAACGGUAGCUAAUAGCGGAUACUAUCGGAUAAACAAUAUGGGAUUAGCUAGUUGGUGAGGUAAUGGCUCACAAAGGCGACGCUCCCCAUCUGGUCUGAGAGGAUGAUCAGCCACACUGGGACUGAGACACGGCCCAGACUCCUACGGAGUCAGCAGUGGGGAAUAUUGCGCAAUGGGCGCAAGCCUGAUGCAGCCAUGCCGCGUGUAUGAAGAAGGCCCUAGGGUUGUAAAGUACUUUCAGUCCUGAGGCGUUACCGACAGAAGCAGCACCGGCUAACUCCGUGCCAGCAGCCGCGGUAAUUC
RNAcentral lists this ribosomal RNA (403 nucleotides) under uncultured bacterium. RNAcentral describes it as "partial 16S ribosomal RNA". It matches the Rfam family "Bacterial small subunit ribosomal RNA", at positions 30 to 526 of the family's 1533-position model. The record is from RNAcentral.